This is a non-coding RNA of Burkholderia sp., 287 nucleotides long. The record is from Rfam. NCBI's taxonomy places the organism in Bacteria, Pseudomonadati, Pseudomonadota, Betaproteobacteria, Burkholderiales, Burkholderiaceae.
CUUCAUCGAUCUGUUGCGGGCUGAUGAAGUGGAUGUGCGAAUCCACACCGCCCGCCGUCACGAUCAUGCCUUCGCCCGCGAUCACUUCCGUGGCCGCGCCGAUGGCGAUGUUCACGUUCGGCUGAAUGUCCGGGUUGCCUGCCUUGCCGAUUGCGAAGAUGCGUCCACCCUUGAUGCCGAUGUCCGCCUUCACGAUGCCCCAGUGAUCGAGGAUCAGCGCGUUGGUCACCACAGUGUCGACCACGUCGGCGGAUGCGCGUUGCGACUGGCCCAUGCCGUCGCGAAUG